RNAcentral lists this ribosomal RNA (581 nucleotides) under uncultured bacterium. RNAcentral describes it as "bacterial SSU rRNA". It matches the Rfam family "Bacterial small subunit ribosomal RNA", at positions 338 to 916 of the family's 1533-position model. The record is from RNAcentral.
CCUACGGGAGGCAGCAGUGGGGAAUAUUGGACAAUGGGCGAAAGCCUGAUCCAGCAAUUCCGCGUGUGUGAAGAAGGCCUUCGGGUUGUAAAGCACUUUAGUGGGGGAAGAAACAGCUUGGCCACACCAAGCCUUGACGGUACCCCAAGAAUAAGCACCGGCUAACUCUGUGCCAGCAGCCGCGGUAAUACAGAGGGUGCAAGCGUUAAUCGGAUUUACUGGGCGUAAAGGGUGCGUAGGUGGCUAUUUAAGUCGGAUGUGAAAGCCCGGGGCUCAACCUCGGAAUUGCAUUCGAUACUGAGUGGCUAGAGUUCGGUAGAGGGCGGCGGAAUUUCCGGUGUAGCGGUGAAAUGCGUAGAUAUCGGAAGGAACAUCAAUGGCGAAGGCAGCCGCCUGGGCCUGGACUGACACUGAGGCACGAAAGCGUGGGUAGCAAACAGGAUUAGAUACCCUGGUAGUCCACGCCGUAAACGAUGAGAACUUGACGUUGGUUCGUUUUACGAAUCGGUGUCGCAGCUAACGCGAUAAGUUCUCCGCCUGGGGAGUACGGCCGCAAGGUUGAAACUUAAAGGAAUUGACGG